UACGUAGGGUGCGAGCGUUGUCCGGAAUUACUGGGCGUAAAGAGCUCGUAGGUGGUUUGUCGCGUUGUUCGUGAAAUCUCACGGCUUAACUGUGAGCGUGCGGGCGAUACGGGCAGACUAGAGUACUGCAGGGGAGACUGGAAUUCCUGGUGUAGCGGUGGAAUGCGCAGAUAUCGGGAGGAACACCGGUGGCGAAGGCGGUUCUCUGGGCCUUACCUGACGCUGAGGAGCGAAAGCAUGGGGAGCGAACAGG
RNAcentral lists this ribosomal RNA (253 nucleotides) under uncultured bacterium. Its description in RNAcentral is "partial 16S ribosomal RNA". It matches the Rfam family "Bacterial small subunit ribosomal RNA", at positions 524 to 776 of the family's 1533-position model. The record is from RNAcentral.